ACAUCUUUGUUAUUUAAUUUUAUUUUAAACACAAAAUUCUAUACUUUUUUUAAUUUGGUAUAAAUAAAUAGUAAAAUUACAAACACAAUUUAUGGAAAACAAAUUUCUGGGAAUUAAAUUGUGUUUAAGCAUUAAUUGUAUAUAUCCUAAGUCUACGAAGAUUUAAACAUAGAAAAAGGAGAAUUCAAAAAAUUACAAAUUUGAAAUUUCGGUUUAGCACAUGAAGUCUACUACUAAUUUACGCUUAAGUUUCAUCAGUAAAAAAAAGUUAAAUAUUAAUAAACUGAAAGCCCUAAUUUUAUUUUCCUUCUCCUCUCUCACGGCGUUUCUUCAAGUCUCUCUUGUCUCCGUUUUUGGAGGUAGUUCUCUCUCUCUCUCGUGUCUUCUGAUGCCAAAGAACCAAGCAAGUCUUCUUCUGCUCAAAGAUCUGUCUAAGAACCCGUAUGAUGGUUUAAAGUCUGUGAUUUACCGUUGCCCUCCCAUCGACUUCUUGUCUAGGGCACAUGAGCAGUUGUAACGGCGGUAUGUGGUUUCACGAUGAUGUUCCCUAUCAGGUCGAUAGGAGUAAAUCUCUGGCACUCUGUUUUUGGUGAAACCUAUGGAACCUCUCUUUCUCUCUCUCCUCUCUGGUGAUGCACAAUGCGGUCUCCUCUCGGUGUUCAUCAAGGGCAGCGAGGCACCGUCGGCUUAAUCUUUUCCUUUCUUCCUCUUUGCUUCACAGAUCAAUCGUUGGUGGUCGUCAGCUCAAAGGUGUAAAUUAUCAUGUCGCCUCUUCUACUUAUAUUCUCAUUAAUCUGGCUGCUUGAUGUCGUCCUUUUAUAUUUGUUCAUGCCAGACCUGAAAUUUUGGUGUUGGAACAACUUUACUUUCAAGUUGGCAGAGAAGCUAUGAGGAAGCCAAAAGAUUAAGAAGCAGAUCCGAUGAAUUUCACAGAAUCAAAGACUCUUAUUUAUAGAGUAAAGAGAUUGAACAUGGAUCGACACCAGGACGACGUCCGGAAGAGAUGAAGUUUUGUGAGUCGGUCUAUUCAUUAGACCAAUUUGGGCUUUGGUUUGAUAUAUUUUAUGGCCCAAUUCUAAAUAUAUAUUAUUAUGUAUCGAACAAAAUCCGAAGGCCACACCUAUUGUACACUUAAAUUAAUGAAACGCAUAGUUUUCAUAAAGGGACAGGUGUCGCAACCAUGUUGCACAACUUAGUGACAUGGAAACACCAUAGGAGAGAAAACACUACUUUAUAAUAUAUAUAUAUAUACUAGGGUUGGUCCGCCCUACGGGCGGGAUAUAUUAUACUUGUGGUAUACAUUAUUAUUUUGUAUGAUUUUAUGGUUUGAAUUUUUGGUUUGCAUUGCAAGAGAAGUGGAAAUGGAUGAUAAUGAUUUAUAUUUAAAACUAUCGAUUAGUUGAUGGUUUGACCGGAUGAGGGAUUAUAUGUGGUAGAUUUAUUUUGCUUGUCUAUUUGUCUAUACAUAAAUCUUUGUCCUUGAGACUUGCUUCGGAGAGCAUCUCCAGCGUUUGUUUAGGUGUCUCACCUGACCGAACCAAGGCUACUAUUCUCUGGUCGAGAGAGUUACGAUGGACCUAUCUCAUCAGCGAAUCUUUUCUCGUUGAUUUGACGCAUCAUAUAUUUGUUGU
Long non-coding RNA from Brassica napus (rape), 1631 nucleotides. RefSeq lists it as uncharacterized. The transcript is spliced from 3 exons. NCBI's taxonomy places the organism in Eukaryota, Viridiplantae, Streptophyta, Magnoliopsida, Brassicales, Brassicaceae. The record is from RefSeq and is a predicted model, not a curated record.